This 461-nucleotide ribosomal RNA is filed under the name uncultured Bacteroidota bacterium. Its description in RNAcentral is "bacterial SSU rRNA". It matches the Rfam family "Bacterial small subunit ribosomal RNA", at positions 338 to 796 of the family's 1533-position model. The record is from RNAcentral. Lineage: Bacteria; Pseudomonadati; Bacteroidota.
CCUUCGGGAUGCAUCAGUAAGGAAUAUUGGGCAAUGGGCGGGAGCCUGACCCAGCCAUGCCGCGUGCAGGAAGACGGCCCUAUGGGUUGUAAACUGCUUUUAUACGGGAAUAAAUUUGGGUACGUAUACGUAAUUGCAAGUACUGUAAGAAUAAGCAUCGGCUAACUCCGUGCCAGCAGCCGCGGUAAUACGGAGGAUGCGAGCGUUAUUCGGAUUUAUUGGGUUUAAAGGGUGCGCAGGUUGAUAUAUAAGUCAGUGGUGAAAUUCCCCGGCUCAACCUGGGGACUGCCGUCGAUACUGUAUAUCUUGAGUGUAGUGGGCGUUGGCGGAAUGUGUCAUGUAGCGGUGAAAUUCAUAGAGAUGACACAGAACACCGAUAGCGAAGGCAGCUGUCGAUACUUACCCUGACGCUCAUGCACGAGAGCGUGGGGAUCAAACAGGAUUAGAUACCCGAGUAGUCC